Molecule: transfer RNA, 74 nt
Filed under: Caudoviricetes sp.
Lineage: Duplodnaviria; Heunggongvirae; Uroviricota; Caudoviricetes
Description: tRNA-Thr
Rfam family: tRNA
About the family: Transfer RNA (tRNA) molecules are approximately 80 nucleotides in length. Their secondary structure includes four short double-helical elements and three loops (D, anti-codon, and T loops).
Source: RNAcentral
GCUGGGUUGAUGUAAUGGCAACAUGGUCGCUUUGUAAGCGUCUCAUACGAGUUCGAGUCUCGUACCCAGCUCCA